Molecule: ribosomal RNA, 397 nt
Filed under: uncultured bacterium
Lineage: Bacteria
Description: bacterial SSU rRNA
Rfam family: Bacterial small subunit ribosomal RNA
Source: RNAcentral
AUUGAACGCUGGCGGCAUGCUUUACACAUGCAAGUCGAACGGUAACAGGGAGCUUGCUCCGCUGACGAGUGGCGAACGGGUGAGUAAUGCAUCGGAACGUACCCAGUCGUGGGGGAUAACGUAGCGAAAGUUACGCUAAUACCGCAUACGUCCUGAGGGAGAAAGCGGGGGACCGUAAGGCCUCGCGCGAUUGGAGCGGCCGAUGUCGGAUUAGCUAGUUGGUAGGGUAAAGGCCUACCAAGGCGACGAUCCGUAGCGGGUCUGAGAGGAUGAUCCGCCACACUGGGACUGAGACACGGCCCAGACUCCUACGGGAGGCAGCAGUGGGGAAUUUUGGACAAUGGGCGAAAGCCUGAUCCAGCCAUGCCGCGUGAGUGAAGAAGGCCUCGGUUGUAAG